UACGGGGGGGGCUAGCGUUGUUCGGAAUUACUGGGCGUAAAGGGCUCGUAGGUGGCCAACUAAGUCACACGUGAAAUCCCUCGGCUUAACCGAGGAACUGCGUGUGAUACUGGAUGGCUUGAAUCCGGGAGAGGGAUGCGGAAUUCCAGGUGUAGCGGUGAAAUGCGUAGAUAUCUGGAGGAACACCGGUGGCGAAGGCGGCAUCCUGGACCGGCAUUGACACUGAGGAGCGAAAGCCAGGGGAGCAAACGGG
RNAcentral lists this ribosomal RNA (253 nucleotides) under uncultured bacterium. RNAcentral's name for it is "partial 16S ribosomal RNA". It matches the Rfam family "Bacterial small subunit ribosomal RNA", at positions 524 to 776 of the family's 1533-position model. The record is from RNAcentral.